UACGAGGGGUGCAAGCGUUGCUCGGAAUUAUUGGGCGUAAAGGGUUGGUAGGUGGUCUUGUUUGUCUGAGGUGAAAGCCCGGGGCUUAACCCCGGAAGUGCCUUAGAAACGGCAAGACUAGAGUCCUAGAGGGGUUUGUGGAAUUCCCGGUGUAGCGGUGAAAUGCGUAGAGAUCGGGAGGAACACCAGCAGCGAAGGCGGCAAACUGGAUAGGCACUGACACUGAACAACGAAAGCGUGGGUAGCAAACAGG
Molecule: ribosomal RNA, 253 nt
Filed under: uncultured bacterium
Lineage: Bacteria
Description: partial 16S ribosomal RNA
Rfam family: Bacterial small subunit ribosomal RNA
Source: RNAcentral